ACGUUAGCGGCGGACGGGUGAGUAACACGUGGGUAACCUACCUAUAAGACUGGGAUAACUUCGGGAAACCGGAGCUAAUACCGGAUAAUAUUUCGAACCGCAUGGUUCGAUAGUGAAAGAUGGUUUUGCUAUCACUUAUAGAUGGACCCGCGCCGUAUUAGCUAGUUGGUGAGGUAACGGCUUACCAAGGCGACGAUACGUAGCCGACCUGAGAGGGUGAUCGGCCACACUGGAACUGAGACACGGUCCAGACUCCUACGGGAGGCAGCAGC
Molecule: ribosomal RNA, 272 nt
Filed under: uncultured Staphylococcus sp.
Lineage: Bacteria; Bacillati; Bacillota; Bacilli; Caryophanales; Staphylococcaceae
Description: partial 16S ribosomal RNA
Rfam family: Bacterial small subunit ribosomal RNA
Source: RNAcentral